This is a long non-coding RNA of Oxyura jamaicensis (ruddy duck), 344 nucleotides long. RefSeq lists it as uncharacterized. The transcript is spliced from 3 exons. NCBI's taxonomy places the organism in Eukaryota, Metazoa, Chordata, Aves, Anseriformes, Anatidae. The record is from RefSeq and is a predicted model, not a curated record.
UAGACAUACUUUUCAUGGGAACUUUUUUUGCACGACCUACUGAUUUAUUAUCCUUUGCCAAUGUCAAUCCUGAUGCUGGAUUUGCAGUACAAAUGUCCAUUGAAGAAAGUCUUGCUGACACAUCCUUGGUUUGUUUUCAAGCAGCUCUUUUGUAUACCUCCAGCAAAGGUGAAUGUCGAAUUCGUGUGCACACACUUUGCUUGCCUGGGGUAAAUUGGUUGGCUGAUGUAUAUGCAGGAGCAGAUGUACAAGCAGUUGUAUGCCUCUUAGCAAACAUGGCAGUGGAUCGCUCAGUUUCAUGUGGUAUUUCAGAUGCAAGAGAUGCCUUAGUUAAUGCUGUGGUA